AUUGAACGCUGGCGGAAUGCUUUACACAUGCAAGUCGAACGGCAGCACGGACUUCGGUCUGGUGGCGAGUGGCGAACGGGUGAGUAAUACAUCGGAACGUGCCCAGUCGUGGGGGAUAACGUAGCGAAAGCUACGCUAAUACCGCAUACGAACUAAGGAUGAAAGCGGGGGAUCGCAAGACCUCGCGCGAUUGGAGCGGCCGAUGGCAGAUUAGGUAGUUGGUGGGGUAAAGGCUCACCAAGCGGACGAUCUGUAGCUGGUAUGAAAGGACGACCAGCCAGACUGGGACUGAGACACGGAGCAGAAUCCUACAGGAGGCAGCAGUGGGGAAUUUUGGACAAUGGGCGAAAGACUGAUCCAGCCAUUCCGCGUGCAGGAUGAAGGCCCUCGGGUUGUAAACUGCUUUUGUACGGAACGAAAAGGCUCUGGUUAAUACCUGGGGCUCAUGACGGUACCGUAAGAAUAAGCACCGGCUAACUACGUGCCAGCCGCCGCAGUAA
Molecule: ribosomal RNA, 500 nt
Filed under: uncultured bacterium
Lineage: Bacteria
Description: partial 16S ribosomal RNA
Rfam family: Bacterial small subunit ribosomal RNA
Source: RNAcentral